AGCAGCCGCGGUAAUUCCAGCUCCAAUAGCGUAUAUUAAAGUUGUUGCAGUUAAAAGCUCGUAGUUGAAUUUCGGGAUCAAUUAGUCGGUCGUGCCUCUGGUACGUACUGGUUUUAUUGGUUCCUCCCUUCUGACGAAACAUGAUGUCAUUAAUUUGGUGUCGUGGAGAAUCAGGACUGUUACCUUGAAAAAUUGAGUGUUUAUAGCAGGCUAACGCUUGAAUACAUUAGCAUGGAAUAAUGAAAUAGGACGUUCGACCCUAUUUUGUUGGUUUCUAGGAUCGACGUAAUGAUUAAUAGGGAUAGUUGGGGGCAUUAGUAUUCAAUUGUCAGAGGUGAAAUUCUUGGAUUUAUUGAAGACUAACUACUGCGAAAGCAUUUGCCAAGGAUGUCUUCAUUAAUCAAGAACGAAAGUUAGGGAUCGAAGACGAUCAGAUACCGUCGUAGUCUU
RNAcentral lists this ribosomal RNA (450 nucleotides) under uncultured Glomeromycotina. Its description in RNAcentral is "SSU rRNA". It matches the Rfam family "Eukaryotic small subunit ribosomal RNA", at positions 569 to 1027 of the family's 1831-position model. Lineage: Eukaryota; Fungi; Glomeromycota. The record is from RNAcentral.